UAUGUAAGAACAAUUUUAUCUUAUUUGAAAUAUAUUUACAGGACAGCUUUGGCCCUUUUGAGCUCAAAAAAUUAACAUUUCCAAUUUAAAUACUUUUUGUGUUUUUACAUCACAGCAAAAACAUAUCUAGUCAUCAACUUUUCUUACUGACUCAUGACAUGGUUUCAUUAACAAGUUCAUUUGAAGGUCAUAGAUGUUUUGCUUUCCAAAUAUUUCAGUCUCAUUGACUGUACAUUUUAACAGAAGUUUAAGGUGACAUGAAAAAAAUUUUAUAUAAACUUCAGUCAAUUUUACAUGGCAGAAAAUAUAUGUUAUAUUAAAUAUAAUGGCUUAAUGUUUACCAUGUUUUAUUCUGUACAUUCAUGUGAAAUAUCACAUUUCAGAUAGUAUUAUUAAAACAUUCUCUUAAAAAUAGAAAACCUAGAUAGCACAUGUGAUAUGCAAUAUUCAUCUUGAAAAAGAUAUGUGAGUGACUUUUGAUUGGGUUACUGUCUCAGUAGCAGAAUGACUAUUAUGUGUACAACACAACACUUAAUUAACAUUCUACUGUGGUAAAUGAACACAAUCCUCCUAAAAAUUACCUUCAGGGAUUUAAAGCACAUGGUCUUUAUGAUUUCUGGGUCACAGACUCCUUAAAGGAGCAUUUCUGACAAUGCUAUUCCCAGAUAUAGGCACCACCUUAUGUACAAUGGCAAAGAUUUCAAGACCACCUGGGGACUGUAUAUCAUCAUGAUGAAUAUUUAUGUGCCUGAAUGAAAAGAACAGACAUCUCUUGGGUGCUUUUAGCUUUUGAGCCUAUGAAUCACAUUUGGGGGCAACCGCAAUAUAUUAUGCCAUGGAUAGUCUCAACUACAAAAGGCAAAAGAGUCUCCUGCAAAAUAGAAGCAAACUGAAAGUACUUUCUGCCUCAUAGGAUUGGUUAUAUUCAGACUCCUUCUUCCUCAACUUUUAUUUCUCCAUGCCAACCUUCUGGAAACGUUACAGGAGAAAUAGCCCUUUUGUUUGCAAAAGGUGUGACAGGUUUUCUAGGUUACUUGAUGAUAGCGCGCUUUAGUUAUGUCACUCUCCCAAGACAAAUUGAGCUUUAUUUUUAUCUUAGAAAAAAGAAAGGAAGGGGAAAUAGUGUGUUGUCAUCAAAUGACAUAAUAAUUUUUAUUUAGAUUAGCAAAAAACCCACAUUGAAAUGAGAAAAUAAGAGCUUAUUUUUAUAUUUUCACCCAAAGUUGUGCUUAACAUUCUUUAAAGCAAUAUAAAUACAUUUUGUAAGGAUAUGCAGUUACAUUAAUAAGAUUAGUUUCAUUGUUUCUAGCAUCAUUUUUAAGGUAACCAAGUCAAAUGCCUUAAUUUAAAUAUCUUUAUCAAUCAAUAAGGUAUGAAGAGCAAGACUUUAUCUGGUAACUGCUUCCCUAAAUUAGUUAAGAUGAUUUUGCAACUGCUAAUUAAGGCCACAGAAUGUGCCAGAAAAUGUGAUAUUCUUCCAGCCUUCAGAGAAUUUAAUCCUAUGUUUAGCUAAAAUAUGCACAUAUUAAUAAUUACUAAAGUACAAAACAGUAAAUCCACUACUUAUGGAUUUACUGUUACUUAUGAGACCCACAUAUAAAGUGAGGGUCUCAUCUUACUUAUGAGACCCACACAUAAAGUGAGGGUCUCAUCUUACUUAUGAGACCCACACAUAAAGUGAGGUGAAUUCCUAAAUAUUAGUUUGUUAUUGCUGGUUGGAGAAAUAAAAAAUAACAAUUAAAGAAAUGUGUAUGUGUGUGAUUUAUACGUGUUUUAAUAUGUGAGCUACUUUGUACUUGGAAUAAUUUCUUUGUUAAAAAAUCAGGGAAAAAUAUUUCAAUGUAUUGUAAAACAGUAAGUGUGGGUUAAUAAAUUUUAUAUAUCCUUCCCAUUACAUUGACUCUGUACUUUCUGGAUUUUUAACUGAGGUCUAUGAGUGUUCUUCAGAGUAAAUUCUCUGAUAUUUUAAUUAAAAAUGUAUGUGCAUAUGAAUGUAUAUGUUAUUUUUCUGGAAAAAAGCUAGCUUUCAUUAGCUUGUAAACAGUAUCUGUGACCCAGAAAAUGUCAGGAGGUUGGUACAUUACCUGUCCUAAUUCUAAUUAUUCAUUGUAAACUUUAAAACAAUGACUCUGAACCAUUGAUACGAUUAUUUAUUCCCAGAGAGUUAGCAUGAGAUAAUAGACUAAUUAAAAUCUCUUUUUGCUGGAAUCGAAUUACUGAAAUGUUCAAUGUAGAAAACAAACAUUAGCCUACAGCAACCUGAAAACAAAGUAUUUCAUGAACUGAAUAAUGUAAAAGAAGAGAAAUAUAAGUCAAAUAUGAUGAAAUUCAUUUAAAGUGGUGCUUUCCAUGAGGAGAACCUUAUCAUACAUGAACACAAUUUCAAAAUAUUUCAUGCAAUUUCUAUUUCUAUUGGAAUUAUCUUUCUGCACACUUUAGAUAAUGUGCCAAUUAGUUAACCAGUAUCAUCUAGGAGGAAGUUAAGUGUGAAAUUAUUGGAGAUAAUUUAUUAUGUAGAAUAUGUUCUUGUUGUAUUAUUAAAAUAUGCAAAUAAAACUAUGUUUUUAAAUAAUGAUGACAUAUAUUUAUGGUUUCCAGAUAUGUUAUAGGAUGCCAAGCUAAGUGUGAAUUUCAAAUAAUGAAUAAUUUUUAGCAUAACUAUGUCCCAAAUAUUGUAUGGAACAUACUUAUCCUAAAAAAAGUCAUUCAUCUGAAGUUGAAAUUUAACAAAGCAUGCUAUACCUUUAUUUGCUAAAUAUGACAAUCCUACAUAUAUCAAAUAUUAAAAAUUUCAGAAGCAACAGAAAACAGCAAAACUUGCACUAAAUUUUCAGAUAGGCAGUUUAAGAAAGAAAUUCUCUUGAGAAUCAGUAGUAUCUGAUCAAAACAUAAAAAUAAAUGCUUUCUAGCUCUUCAACUGAAUAACAGAUUAAUAUACAGAAUUAAAAAGUCAUUAUAAAAUUAAAUUUUAAAUAAAGGAAUGUACUAUUAUCUUUGAUUAUCACAUUUAAUAAAGACUCUGUAUCUUUUAUAUUAUUAAAAAAAUGCCCUCUACAAAUGAAAUAGUUUCCAGGAUUGGAGUGACUGUAUCAAGAAAUGCUUACAGUGGGCAGAAUGUAUAAAACAAUGACUGAAGUGUUGGAGCACAAAAAGUUAUUGAUAUGAUUUGGUUCUGUGUUCCCACCCAAAUCUCAUGUUGAAUUGUAAUUCCCAAUGUCGGAGGUAGAACGGGGUGGGAGGUGAUUGGAUCAUGGGGGUGGUUUCUAAUGGUUCAGCACCAUCCCUCCAGUACUGUCUUGUGAUAAUAGUGUUCUCACGAGAUCUGAUUGUUUAAAAAGUGUGUGGCACCUUCCCAUUCACUUUCUCUCUUGCCAGCCAUGUGAAGACCAUGAUUGCUUUCCCUUCAGCCUUCCACCUUUGAUUUUAGAAUGCCAAGCUGACAUUUUGAGUUUUUAUGAGAAACCAGAAAAUUUGGUGUGAAGACCCUAAGUGGUGUGUCUGACUUACAGCAGGCCCACAGUACCUGUUAUUGAGUGAGAUAAGCAAAUGGUAUUUCAGGACCAAAACAUCUGUUUCCUGAAGAGUUGCUCCUUUAAUUGUGUAUCUACCUACCUGUCUAUGUAACUCUUGGCAAAUACAUUGGAGACUUCUCAACUUUCUGCUUCUGAUGAUCUCAACUUGUGGUAUGGCAAAAGGAGAGCAAAAUGUUCACCCAGGUAUGGGAAUUUCUCACAAAAAUGUUACUUUAUUAUAUUUAGGGGAAAAAGGGGGCAAAAUCUACACUCAUAAUACCUGAGACUGGAUUUCUAGAACCUUUUGGUUUCAGAUUUAUGAUGAAUUAGAAAACUUCCUGAUUAGAAAAAUGUUAUAGUUUCAAAUAUUAGCUAAAAUUUUUAUCUGUAAGUACAAUAAACAUGACAAAUAAUGAUCAGUGUUUUCACUCCUAUUAAGGAGAGUAUUUUUAGUAAUAAAAAUAAGCCUUAAUGUGAAAAAGCUAAGAAUUCAUGAUUGCUUCUAAUGACAAGUAUCUGGGAGGGGUCUGAGUUUGGUUCAAGAGAGGAACUACAGCUGUUGGUGACUACAACCAUCUGCCCAGAUGACAUCGUGAUCAACUCCUCUGAAUCACUCUAAAGGAACGAGAAGUCCUGGCAGCUGAGUCAUGAUCCCCCAGGAGCCAUUAAGAAGUUAAUCUUCAGUCACUUCCAUCCAAACAGAAGAAAACCCAUGAAGGAUGAGAACUAUGGGUCCUGAGAAUGACAGGUAAU
RNAcentral lists this long non-coding RNA (4265 nucleotides) under Homo sapiens (human). RNAcentral describes it as "HSALNT0307829". The record is from RNAcentral. Lineage: Eukaryota; Metazoa; Chordata; Mammalia; Primates; Hominidae.